AUCAAGUUUGUCACUUUCAAAAUUCAAAUUUAAAAAUCUAUUCGAAAAGUUUAGAUUAUUUUCAAAAAUUGAUAUAGUUGCAGAAACGUUUAUCUAAUCCAAAGCCUUAGCAAGCAACGCUAGUGGAUCAAUUUAACGCUUAGAUAUUUAUAGUCGAAAAUCUGAGUAUAUUAAAAAAAAUUAUUCAUGGAUGGUGGCAAAGGAGCUAGUGAUCAAUAGAUCAAAGAUUUAGUAAAAUCAAAAUUUUCUUCGAUAAAACGCAGUCUAACUCAAUUUAAGUACAAAGAAAAGGCUUACACAGUUGCUGUAUAAAUAUCUAACGGUAUUGGAUUAAAGCAGCAAUUAGAAGGAGCAUUAUUUCUCUUAAAAAUCUACUGCCGGCAAUAGCGAACUAAGAACUUUUAUACCACCUAGCCAGAGUUGGAUUAUAGAACACACUAAAUAGGAAGUUAUAUUCGGUUUAUGAUGGCUAGUCGAAGUUUAAUUCGUAUUUUAACGAUUUUCGGCUCAAAGAUAGACAAUUAUUAUAGAAAAAAGGUCUCAACUUAAGAUAAAGCACAUAUUCACCGAUAUAGGAGUACAAGAUUGACCGAUCUUAGUCAGACAAUAUCCGGGGCACUGCAAAUGUACAGUCAUAUUUUCAUAAUUUUUGGGUAAAAAAUGCUAUAUCUUGAAGGCACUAUUUGUGCAAAGUUUGGCUUCGAAAAAAGUAAAAUUGUUUUAUAUAGAAAUUAGAUGUGGUUGGUAUAUUACGUAGGAGUGGCAAUGGUCCGAUGCCAAACAUCUGCAAUAUUAACCGCCAAUUGAUAAUUAAUUAUAAAUUUUUACUGAAGUUAUGGCUUGCACGGACGGAGGGACAGGCAAUUACUCGGAAUCAACACGUCUCGUCACUCUGUAUAUUUGUAUAUAUAACGCUAAAUCUAUCUCGAUUAAUUUUCGGAGUUUCAAACAACCGCUAGGUGAAUUAUAUCAUGUAAUAACAUAUUCCGAAAAUAUUAUAAAUAUACAAAUUAAUUUAUUAUCAAAAUGGAAAA
Non-coding RNA from Bactrocera oleae (olive fruit fly), 1034 nucleotides. NCBI's taxonomy places the organism in Eukaryota, Metazoa, Arthropoda, Insecta, Diptera, Tephritidae. The record is from RefSeq and is a predicted model, not a curated record.